This 2573-nucleotide long non-coding RNA is filed under the name Salmo salar (Atlantic salmon). RNAcentral describes it as "lncRNA (ENSSSAG00000115698.1)". Lineage: Eukaryota; Metazoa; Chordata; Actinopteri; Salmoniformes; Salmonidae. The record is from RNAcentral.
GAUAAACAGAGAGCAAAUUAGAAUGCUGGGAAGUUGACAUGUCGUCACUUCAUAUUUUUGCGUCUGCGCAUAAAUCUGAGAAGCGUGAGUUUGUCAUAAUUGUUUAUCUAGACAUAGGAUAGGUUGUGUGAAAAUAUUACUGAUGUUUAACGUUAAAAAUGGACCAAAAGAUUAAUGCUAAACAACGUUUGACAUGUUUGAACGAACGUAAAUAGAUUAUUUACUAGUUUUUUUUAGCUUUUCGGCGUGAUUUUACACCCCCCCCCACCACGUUUUGUGGGAGCAUAAUGAACGUUAACUACUUGGUGUUAUUUGGACAUAAAUUAUGAACUUUGUCAAAAGAAACCACAUUUGUUCUGGACCUGGGAUUCCUGGCAGUGCCUUCUGAUGGAGAUAAUCAAAGAGGUUCUAAACCCAGAGGUCCAACAUUGCUAUAUUUCGGGGAACGCUUCGCAAAGCAGACUUGACAGUCCAGACCGGGGUUGUGGUUUGAGGACCUGAGCCCUAGGACCAUGCCUCAGGACUACCUGGCAUGAUGACUCCUUGCUGUCCCCAGUCCACCUGGCUGUGCUGCUGCUCCAGUUUCAACUGUUCUGCCUGCGGCUAUGGAACCCUGACAUGUUCACCGGACGUGCUACCUGUCCCAGACCUGCUGUUUUCAACUCUCUACAGACAGCAGGAGCGGUAGAGAUACUGUCAAUGAUCGGCUAUGAAAAGCCAACUGACAUUUACUCCUGAGAUGCUGACCUGUUGCACCUUCGACAACUACUGUGAUUGUUAUUAUUUGACCAUGCUGAACAUUUGAACAUCUUGGCCAUGUUCUGUUAUAAUCUCCACCCAGCACAGCCAGAAGAGGACUGGCCACCCCUCAUAGCCUGGUUCCUCUCUAGGUUUCUUUGUGGGUUUUGGCCUUUCUAGGGAGUUUUUCCUAGCCACCGUGCUUCUACACCUGCAUUGCUUGCUGUUUGGGGUUGUAGGCUGGGUUUCUGUACAGCACUUUUAGAUAUCAGCUGAUGUAAGAAGGGCUAUAUAAAUACAUUUGAUUUGAUUUUAAUUCUAAAUGCUGCCGCAGAUAUGGCCUGGACAAUGCUGGGGGAAAAGGCCAAGGAACAACUACUAAAAUGUAAUUCGUUUGAACAAUUAUGUUAUGUAUAUAAUUAUACAUUUAAAUGUAGUUAAUUUAGCAUACACUCUUAUCACACCAUAGUGCAGGGGAGUACUGCAGGUACAGCAGGAUUUUGUUCCAACUAAUUGAUCAGUUCAGUGACUACCUAAAUUCAACACACGUAGUCUUACAGGUUGGUUAAAUCAAAACAUGAAGUGCCUGCAGCACUCCAGUACCAGGGUUGCCUUCCCCAGCCAUAGUCCUAUCAGACUUCUGAUACCAAUGCAGGGUGAACCAUAAUUUUAAAAAAGUGUAUAAAAAAGUAUUUUGUAUUUUUGAAAUAAAAAUGUCAGUAUUUUUUUUAAUACAAAAUACAUUGGAGAUUAAUUCAGCCCAGUGUAAUUCAAAUUACAAAAAACUCUGAAGUAAUAAAAGUACAAAUUUCACAUGUAACAGAACUACUGCCCAUCUCUGUACACACUCAUGCAUGUACAAACACAUUCCACAAGACAAACAGAUAAUACUAACAUGAAGAAUUUUUCCACUCAUAAAAUGUGAAUCUUUAUUAAAUGUUGACAAGAACAUUAAAACACAGUAUCAAGAUUCCACAAAACAAUCUAUAUUCACGAGAGAGAAAAAUGAAAGCAGAGUUGGUUCUGUGAUGGGGACUAGGGAGCUUGGGGCUGAGGGAGGUUGGGUUUGGGGAAUGGAGAGAUGGAGGAGGUGGGAGAAAUGGAGGGGUUAGGGGAAUGGAGAGCAUGUGAGAUGGAGGGGGAAUGUAAAAAAGGAGGAGUGAGACAGAGGAGGGUGAGGGAACAGGAGGGAUUGAUCAGUACUCUGCUGAAGCUGAUGAUAAUGAGUGGGAGAAAGGGAUAACUGAAUGAUCCCAACUUCUGUUUAUAAUGCUGGAGUCAAGCUAGUGCUUGAGUUUAAAGAGAACUGCCUUCUAGAACCAACUAAAUGUAAAUGGCCUAUGUGGCACCGAUAUGAAUCAAAAACAUUAAUUACAGUGUGUAAAUAGGAUAAUGUUGGUCAUUAAGUCAGUCUUGUCUAAAAUGAGAUUUGGAAGUGAGUGCAUCACGACAUGUAUGGAUGGGUUGGGUAUGAAUUACAUGCCCACUUUUGCCAAUGAUGAUGUCUAGAUGGCAAGGAAUGGAUUACAUGCAACAAACGUACGACAUGAUGGCUGUGACUGGUGUGUGGUGAGUAGCUAACUAGCUAGCUAUGAUACUGUUAUACUGUGAUGUAACUAGCUAAAUACAUAUCAUUACACAAUCGGGAGAGGCUAUGUAAUGUCAUAGAGGAAGAUUUGCAUAGUUAACAUUGCACCUGAUGACAAGGUUUGAUAGGAUGUAACUUUAGCCAGCUUGCAAUUGAUUAUGUUUCAACUCGAACUGGCUAGCUAAGAACCUCUCUAUGCUGGCUAACAUUAGAUAGCUAGGCAAUUAAUAUAAACUCAUACAAAGAU